Molecule: long non-coding RNA, 855 nt
Organism: Argiope bruennichi
Lineage: Eukaryota; Metazoa; Arthropoda; Arachnida; Araneae; Araneidae
Exons: 3
Source: RefSeq, a predicted model, not a curated record
GGAAUUUGUUGUUAAUUUUCUUCUUGUAAAUCCUUUUCUCUUUCUAUCGCUCGUUUUAUGGUGUGUUUUGAGCAACGAGUAGAUAUAAACAUAUUUGAUACUCAAAGCCAUAGACAUAAGCACGUUUGAAACCCGACCUUAGAUAUCAAUUACGUUCAAUUCUACAUUCAAAACAAUGGCGGAUGAGAAGAUUAAGCUAUUGAAAAGCAAACGAUAAAUGUAUAUGAAGUAUACAAAGAAGAAAGCAUUGGAAUCGUCAAAAAGAAAAAAACUCGAGAUUCUGACAAAUCUCCUUGUUUUGGGCCUUCCUGAAUUCGAAAAGUAUAUUUAAAAUAUAUAUAUAUAUAUCUGUCUGUCUGUGAGCAUGAGAAUUCAAAAUCAUUUUGAACUAGAAGAAACUGGUGAUAUUAAAGUAAUUAAUGGACCCACCGAAAACAAAAUAUCAUCAAGCCCACCUUUUAUGCAAAUGGGAUUCGUAGAACCUAAUGACCACAAAGCCAUGGAAAAAAGGUGCAUGUUGUUUUCGCCAGCAAGGACAAAGCGCUGUCUGCGUCAAAGGAUCUUGCAUAACGAGCCAUUUCUGCGUUUCCCGAGUGACGUAACCGAAAUGUAAACAAUCUCCGAACGGCACGUGCCUUACUAUUCGACUUAAUUCCCUUGUCUACAGCAAAGGAACGAAUUUUUUCCUACUAAAUGUAGAUCAACACCAAGGCAACUGGGAGAUAAAAAUUUCAAGUGUUAACACCAGGCUUAUCAGAAAAGAAAAUCUUUUAAUAAAGAUGUAAUAUUUUUCUCGCGGUUUAACAGCUGGAACUAUUUUGUUCCAAAAACAACGUAAUAAAAUGGGAAGUUUUA